RNAcentral lists this ribosomal RNA (415 nucleotides) under uncultured Anaerolineae bacterium. Its description in RNAcentral is "bacterial SSU rRNA". It matches the Rfam family "Bacterial small subunit ribosomal RNA", at positions 9 to 419 of the family's 1533-position model. Lineage: Bacteria; Bacillati; Chloroflexota; Anaerolineae. The record is from RNAcentral.
GAGUUUGAUCUUGGCUCAGGAUGAACGCUGGCGGCGUGCUUAAGACAUGCAAGUCGAACGCGGAGCGAUAGCAAUAUUGCUCCGAGUGGCGAAUGGGUGCGUAACACGUAGGUGAUCUGCCCAGAAGUGUGGAAUAACAGUCCGAAAGGACUGCUAAUACCGCAUGUGGCAGCCGGGGUUAGAGGCCCGGUUGCGAAAGGUCCGUAAGGAUCGCUUCUGGAGGAGCCUGCGGCCCAUCAGGUAGUUGGUAGGGUAAUGGCCUACCAAGCCAACGACGGGUAGGGGACCUCAGAGGGUGGCCCCCCACACUGGCACUGACACACGGGCCAGACUCCUACGGGAGGCAGCAGUCGGGAAUAUUGCCCAAUGGUCGCAAGACUGAGGCAGCAACGCCGCAUGCGCGAUGAAGGCCUUC